This 424-nucleotide ribosomal RNA is filed under the name uncultured bacterium. RNAcentral's name for it is "partial 16S ribosomal RNA". It matches the Rfam family "Bacterial small subunit ribosomal RNA", at positions 359 to 774 of the family's 1533-position model. The record is from RNAcentral.
GAAUAUUGGACAGUGGGGGGAACCCUGAUCCAGCCAUGCCGCGUGUGUGAAGAAGGCCUUUGGGUUGUAAAGCACUUUAAGCCAGGGGGAGGAGCUCUUGGCUAAUACCCAAGAUGCUUGGACGUUACUCCCAGAAUAACACCCGGCUAACCCUGCGCCAGAUGCCGCGGUAAUACAGAGGGGGCAAGCGUUAAUCGGAUUUACUGGGCGUAAAGCGCGCGUAGGUGGCCAAUUAAGUCAAAUGUGAAAUCCCCGAGCUUAACUUGGGAAUUGCAUUCGAUACUGGUUGGCUAGAGUAUGGGAGAGGAUGGUAGAAUUCCAGGUGUAGCGGUGAAAUGCGUAGAGAUCUGGAGGAAUACCGAUGGCGAAGGCAGCCAUCUGGCCUAAUACUGACACUGAGGUGCGAAAGCAUGGGGAGCAAACA